RNAcentral lists this non-coding RNA (159 nucleotides) under Aquibium oceanicum. RNAcentral describes it as "Mesorhizobium sp. B7 Ruegeria cis52 sRNA". It matches the Rfam family "Ruegeria cis52 sRNA", at positions 1 to 159 of the family's 179-position model. From Rfam's summary of the family: Cis-encoded. Targets oligo/dipeptide ABC transporter. Lineage: Bacteria; Pseudomonadati; Pseudomonadota; Alphaproteobacteria; Hyphomicrobiales; Phyllobacteriaceae. The record is from Rfam by way of RNAcentral.
UGCGCAGCGCGUGCUUGACCACGACCGAGCUGAAGCUCAGGCCCUUGAGCCGCGCGGUGCGGAUGUAUUGCUGCGUCAUGACCUCGACCAUCGAGGCGCGGGUCAUGCGGGCGAUGUAGCCGAUGCCGUAGAUGGCCAUCGUCAUCACCGGCAGCGUGA